Antechinus flavipes (yellow-footed antechinus) is the source of this 3398-nucleotide long non-coding RNA. RefSeq lists it as uncharacterized. NCBI's taxonomy places the organism in Eukaryota, Metazoa, Chordata, Mammalia, Dasyuromorphia, Dasyuridae. The transcript is spliced from 3 exons. The record is from RefSeq and is a predicted model, not a curated record.
GUGUGUGUGUGUGUGUGUGUGUGUAAGAAAAUGCCAAAACAAGGGGGAAGAGCAAGCACAAAAUUGGAAGGAUAGAAAAAAAGACCAUUCAUUCUCAGGAGCGAUCACACUCGAGAGUCAGCAACAACAGGCAAGCUUUUCGAUGUCGGCACCCAGACGCACAAGGCAAAGCUUCCGCAGGGUGAGAUGCACACCCCAAGAUAGAGAGGCAAACUGGACGGAGCCUUAGAGAAAUAGGACUCCCGCCUGGAAUGGAUGGAAGAGAAAACACCAGUGAAAUGAUAUACGUCUCAUCCAACCCAGGAAACUACGUGGUGAAGAGUGGAGGAGGAUUAGGUGAAGAUUAAGGGAGGGAGAAAGAAAGGGAGAGGAAAAUUGGGUGAAAAUUAAGAGAGGAAGAAAGAAAGGUAGAGGAAAAUUAGGUAAAAACUAAGGGAAGGAGAAAGAAAAGUAAAGGAAAAUUAGGUGAAGAUUAAGGGAGAGAGAAAGAAAAGUAGAGGAAAAUUGGGUGAAGAUUAAGGAAGGGAGAAAGGUAGAGGAAAAUUAGGUGAAGAUUAAGGGAGGAAAAAAGAAAGGUGAAGGAGAAUUAAGUGAAGAUUAAGGGAGAGAGAAAGAAAGGUAGAGGAAAAUUAGGUGAAGAUUAAGGGAGAGAGAAAGAAAGGUGAAGAAGAAUUAAGUGAAGAUUAAGGAAGGAGAAAGAAAGGCAAUAUCGUGAGUAGUGUAGAGGACCCCAGAUAUUGGGGAACUCUGAGAAAAGUAUAGUUGAAGCAGAUACUUGCAGCAGGGGGUUAACUCAGUGGAAUUGAUGAGAGAUGGUUCCCUAGAUCCCAUAUAUACUUAGUACUCAGCAUGGGGAUGUCAUGGUUCUCCAGUUCGCACAUGCUCAGUGUGCUGUAGUGAGGUAAUUGUACUAAGGUAUAUAAGGGCGGAGAGGACUGAAAAUGAGACCCUCCAUCUUUGCUCAGCCUCCUGGAGGCUCUCCUGCCUCCUGCCUCCUCCACUAAGACCGAGGCUGGUCCCAAGAUCCUUCAGAGAGCCAGUCUGGACAUUACAGAGUAAACUAAAGACCACCGGUCCAGAGGGAGGAAACAGACCCCAAGGCUGACCUCAAAGUAGGCUAUUCUGGCAAAGGGGACUCAACCCUGUCUGUGCUAAAGAUAGAGAAGCUGAUCAAUUCCAAACUCGCCUUAAUGACAGUUUCCUUCUUCAAAAGGGACAGGAAGCAACAAGAGGAACCGUAACUGUGGACCUGAGUCUCCCCAGCAAGAAGGAACUGGGAGUUGAAGGAGAAACGAUAGGAACGGAGGGGCAAAGGAGCCCUCCGGAAUCUGUGACAGACAAGGAAGAGAAACCUGGCCACGGCUGCGUUUGAGGGAGGGCGGCUUGCAAACGGUUCCGAGAAAGAGGGCAGAAUCCCAAGCCGCGAGGAACAGAAGGCUCAACAACGGAUUUCUUAAAAACCCAAACCUGUGCGAUGUUGAUGAGGGAACAGUCGAUAAGCAUUUAGUAAGCACCUACUAUGUGCCAAGCACAGAGCUAAAGAAAAGGAGGAAUAUCAAUGUAGAUUCCCAGCAACAAUUAUCUAUUUUGUUUUCUUUUAAAGACAUUUAAAGAUGGAAGCCAGGACAAAAACAACAACAACAACAACAACAAUAACCAUUAAGCUCCUACUGAGUUCUAGGCAAAGAUAUCCAACUAAAACCAUCUCCACCUUCAUGGAACUGACAUUCUAUUGGGGGAGAAAAUCCAAAGCAAGAGAACGAACACAAGGAGAGACAGAAACCACUGCUCAGAGAUGUUGGGAUGAUGCUAAUGAGCAGCAAAUGAAAGCAGAACUUUGAGUAAGAAGUUGGUUUCUAGUUUUCUUUUUCUGUUUUCUCAAAUAGAGGCUAACUGGGUUCAUGGAGAUCCAGUGCACAUUAAGUAACCAGGAAAUCACACGCCAAGGCCUUAGUAAGGGAGCCCUGACCUGCCAGAGAUGCCGUUCUAAUCCCUCGGUCCAGGUAAACAAUGAUACUCUUUCGAGGGGUAUGGAAAAGGGAGAAGCCCUGGGAGAGAUACCGUGGGACCAGUGCAGAGGCGAAUGUCCCCAUUUAAAAAAAAAAAAAAACAGAGUCUACAACUGCUAGUUCCAUUCCUGUAGAAAUUAGAAGGAUGGUUUGGGGGCCUUUAGAAAGGGAAGCAGUGAUCCCAAAGGGCCAGUCCCAAAGGAUGCUCCCGACCACACACAGUAAACAUAGCUUAUCCAGGUUUUAGCUGAACAUGUAACCAAGCUUUCUUGGUUAAGGCCCCAACGCAAAGAUGGGCCGAGGUGAUCGCAAAUGUGUGUGUUCAGGUUUGGACGUUUGAUUAAUUGUCUAAUUAUAAUUAAUAGUAAAUAAAUAAAGAUAAAGCUCAAAAAUAAAUAAAUAAAUGAGGAAGUGGGCAAAAAUAAAAAUAAUGAAUCAUAAUUAAUAUUUAAAAAUAUCUAAUUAAACAAACCCAAAUUAAACCCAAAGAGUAAGAACUUGGAGAGAGGUUCCCGGUGAAAUUUCCCAGAAAACCGUCCUUGGCCCAUGUGAUCUGACUUUUUUACCGAUGAUAUAAAUAAUGUUACACUGAUCCCUCUUGCAAAGAACACAAUGUUGGAAGGCAGAGGUAACAAACUAAAUAAAGUUGAUUCAGAAGGAAAGUUGUCUCUGCAGAUUGUAUCACUGGACCAAUCAAAUGAGAUACAAUGUAACACCCGUAAAUGGAAAGUGCCAGACUUGGGUCCAAAAAGCAACUUCGCAAGGAAAGAGUGAAAUGUGAGGAGGACGCGUGUGGAAAAAACACUCAGGCGAGCGAGUGGACUCCAAGUGCAGAAAGUGAGCAGGUUACGGGGAAGCCACAGAGCUAACGGCUGCUUUGAGAAAGGGGGAGUGUCCGGGACCCUGUUUAGGCUGGAUCAGGGUACGGCGCUUCUAGGCCACACGUACAGAAGGAAGUUCCAGGACAAAGACAAGCUGGACCAUGGCCAGAGAAGAGUAAUCAGCAUUGGGAAGGGUCCUGAUCGUGCCCGGUAAGGGUCACUGGGAAAAACUGGUAAAGUUAAUCGGGAGGAAAUGGAGAGGACACAGGAGGGCUGCCCCCAGUCUUUGGGGCAAAGAGCAGAGAACUGUGGCUAAGGGAGGGAGGCGGGGAGAGGUGCAGAGAGCCAGCUUAGGACCAAAAGACGGACACGCUUAACUAUCAGCUGCCUGGGCAGGUGGUGAGACUCCCGUUACUGGAGGAGUCCAAGGAGACCAUAGCGUGAUACAGAGAUCGGGGAUGCGAGGGCUGCUCUGGCAGGCUCUGACCCCCCCCACUCUGAGAUGCUCAGAUGCUGUGGACACCCCUCACACACACACAUACACACACACACUCACCACCUCCCAGCC